UCGACGGUGGUGGUGAAGCAGCGCCGUGAAUUGGAAUGCUUUCCAGUUCAAACAUCUAUCAUCCGAGCUGCUGCUCGUCCUUUCUCAAGUAAGCAUCCUUCCUCUACUCUACUCUAGCACUGAUCUAACUCUGCUUUGUCUAUUCUUUCAGCUAUAGCACUCAGCUCAAGUCCAUCAAGGACAACGGUACGAAUAUAUAGGUAGAACUCGUCUUCUCUCUCUCUCUUCUCUGUCCCUGUCUCGUUUCUUUCCUCUUGAGUAAAUGGUCUCAUGUGAUUUUCCUCAGUUGUUUUCCAGUAUGGGAAGUGAAGAAGAUCUACAGAUUCUCGGCUACCUUGGACCUCGAGCCUUGACUAUUCACGCGCUGGCUGGCUGUUUGCUCACAGGCCUUGAGGUAUAGUAGCACACACUCACGCUCUCCGCUGCAGUAACAGGAAUCGCCAGGCUCAAAAUUCUGCCUUUUCUUUUCCUGCCUCUGGGAGAGCAAAGAGAUCGCCCAGUCCAGAUUCUCACGGAGCAGCAGCAGCAGCAGCAAAAUCAAUCCAAUUCACGAGCGACGAGAUCGAAGACAACGAGACGAGAGAGCGCGUGAAGCAUCGCUCGAGAGAAAGAAGCCUUCGAUCGAGAAGAGAGAAAAAAAAUAAUAGAGAGAAUUAUUUGGUUUCGCGACCCAUGAAUGAAUGAAUGGCGUACGGCAGGGGCAAACACGUGUCGUACUGAUUUGCUUGCUGCAUUCCCAACAACACAACAUGGUUGUGUGACCCAAAAUAGAAACUCUCUCCGGCCACAUUGUAUUCCAAAAUAGUAUCAGCACAUAUAAGUUAUUAAACUCUCCCAUUGUUUUUGUGGUGUGGACAUUACGUAAGUGUAGUAUGUCCUUGUUUGUAAAAGGAAAAGAGAG
Molecule: long non-coding RNA, 901 nt
Filed under: Selaginella moellendorffii
Lineage: Eukaryota; Viridiplantae; Streptophyta; Lycopodiopsida; Selaginellales; Selaginellaceae
Description: long non-coding RNA (SMOE_LNC001412)
Source: RNAcentral